RNAcentral lists this long non-coding RNA (1326 nucleotides) under Salmo salar (Atlantic salmon). RNAcentral's name for it is "lncRNA (ENSSSAG00000096236.1)". The record is from RNAcentral. Lineage: Eukaryota; Metazoa; Chordata; Actinopteri; Salmoniformes; Salmonidae.
CAUAUAUUUGUUUAUUGCAGCAUAUUAAAGACAACACAGUUGCAUGUGUCUACUAAUCUUGUCAUUUUAUAGAUUUUAAUAACAUUUUUAUUUUAAUAACCUGUAUUCACCGAACAACCGUCACUGAAUGAUGAAAUUAUAACUAUUUUGUAACAAAUAAAGUUUCAGUAUACAUUUAGAAGUAUUAUAAAUGGGUCAAAUAUAGACCUGGGCCUUAUGGCAUAAAGUCCUGGUAACCUAAUGAUCUGUAACUGUUUAACAGCAAUGGAGCUCAUUUGGAAAGAAUCAAGUGUGGUGUAACUACACAUAAUGUAACAUCAUUACUUCAAUAGGCCACUAACAUUUAUAGCAACAUAACCCUGCAUUCUACUUAUAACACAUCUGUAAAAUUAAGUUAACCCUUCAGUAUUGCUGUCACCCAGAGGUCUCACUGUGCUAUAAGUCAAAGUGAAUCCAGUGAUGAAAAAAAUCACAAUGCGCAGCACAACACAUCUUCUGUAUUAAAUUCAAAUUCUGUUCAUCUCAAGUAUCAGCCCUGCUGUAAGCGGAAUUGUGCUUUCAUGUAGGUGGGUAACAGACUAUGUAAGGGAUGUAAAGUAUGUGUGGAUCAGAAGAAAAAUUAUUUGUGAUUGACUGUGUUUGACCAGAACCAAACCCGUACCAAGUGUGGCUUUUAUGUUACCUGAGUCACAUUCAGUACGAACAAAUGGGAGAAAGCGUUUUUGAAAACAAGAACGAGCAUACUUGUAGGACUAGCCCAGGUUUUACCGCCUCCGUUUCUAAACACAGUCUUCCAUUUUGUUCCAACUGAAAGCAGCCCUGUUCAUGGCUUGUUUCUGAGCGUCAGACAAAUCCUCCAAACCUGCUUUGCCAUUCCCACACACUCUGUGGUACAGUAUACUGCAUCCGGGCUGUAACAUUCCCACAUACUCUGUGGUACAGUAUACUGCAUCCAGGCUGUAACAUUCCCACACACUCUGUGGUACAGUAUACUGCAUCCGGGCUGUAACAUUCCCACACACUCUGUGGUACAGUAUACUGCAUCCGGGCUGUAACAUUCCCACACACUCUGUGGUACAGUAUACUGCAUCCGGGCUGUAACAUUCCCACACACUCUGUGGUACAGUAUACUGCAUCCAGGCUGUAACAUUCCCACACACUCUGUGGUACAGUAUACUGCAUCCAGGCUGUAACAUUCCCACAUACUCUGUGGUACAGUAUACUGCAUCCAGGCUGUAACAUUCCCACAAUGAGUAAUAGUACAAGAAUGGUGCAGUAAUAGUAAAGGCCACUCUUAAAGUUAAGGACCACAGGCAGUUGUCAUUA